This 930-nucleotide ribosomal RNA is filed under the name uncultured bacterium. Its description in RNAcentral is "bacterial SSU rRNA". It matches the Rfam family "Bacterial small subunit ribosomal RNA", at positions 555 to 1477 of the family's 1533-position model. The record is from RNAcentral.
UGGGCGUAAGAGCUCGUAGGCGGUUUGUCGCGUCUGCCGUGAAAGUCCGGGGCUCAACUCCGGAUCUGCGGUGGGUACGGGCAGACUAGAGUGAUGUAGGGGAGACUGGAAUUCCUGGUGUAGCGGUGAAAUGCGCAGAUAUCAGGAGGAACACCGAUGGCGAAGGCAGGUCUCUGGGCAUUAACUGACGCUGAGGAGCGAAAGCAUGGGGAGCGAACAGGAUUAGAUACCCUGGUAGUCCAUGCCGUAAACGUUGGGCACUAGGUGUGGGGGACAUUCCACGUUUUCCGCGCCGUAGCUAACGCAUUAAGUGCCCCGCCUGGGGAGUACGGCCGCAAGGCUAAAACUCAAAGGAAUUGACGGGGGCCCGCACAAGCGGCGGAGCAUGCGGAUUAAUUCGAUGCAACGCGAAGAACCUUACCAAGGCUUGACAUGAACCGGUAAUACCUGGAGACAGGUGCCCCGCUUGCGGUCGGUUUACAGGUGGUGCAUGGUUGUCGUCAGCUCGUGUCGUGAGAUGUUGGGUUAAGUCCCGCAACGAGCGCAACCCUCGUUCUAUGUUGCCAGCACGUGAUGGUGGGGACUCAUAGGAGACUGCCGGGGUCAACUCGGAGGAAGGUGGGACGACGUCAAAUCAUCAUGCCCCUUAUGUCUUGGGCUUCACGCAUGCUACAAUGGCCGGUACAAAGGGUUGCGAUACUGUGAGGUGGAGCUAAUCCCAAAAAGCCGGUCUCAGUUCGGAUUGGGGUCUGCAACUCGACCCCAUGAAGUCGGAGUCGCUAGUAAUCGCAGAUCAGCAACGCUGCGGUGAAUACGUUUCCCGGGCCUUGUACACACCGCCCGUCAAGUCACGAAAGUUGGUAACACCCGAAGCCCGGNGGCCUNAACCCCUUGUGGGAGGGAGCUGUCAAAGGUGGNACUGGCGAAUUG